RNAcentral lists this ribosomal RNA (601 nucleotides) under uncultured bacterium. RNAcentral describes it as "bacterial SSU rRNA". The stretch from base 1 to 522 matches the Rfam family "Bacterial small subunit ribosomal RNA", at positions 338 to 873 of the family's 1533-position model. The record is from RNAcentral.
CCUACGGGAGGCAGCAGUAGGGAAUUUUCCACAAUGGGCGAAAGCCUGAUGGAGCAAUACCGCGUGCAGGAUGAAGGCCUUCGGGUCGUAAACUGCUUUUAUGUGCGAAGAAUUUGACGGUAACACAUGAAUAAGGAUCGGCUAACUACGUGCCAGCAGCCGCGGUCAUACGUAGGAUCCAAGCGUUAUCCGGAAUUACUGGGCGUAAAGAGUUGCGUAGGUGGCAUUAUAAGUGGAGCGUGAAAGCGUGCGGCUCAACCGCAUUAUUGCGUUCCAAACUGUGAAGCUUGAGUAUGGGAGAGGUAGAUGGAAUUUCUAGUGUAGGAGUGAAAUCCGUAGAUAUUAGAAGGAACACCGAUGGCGUAGGCAGUCUACUGGCCCAUUACUGACACUAAGGCACGAAAGCGUGGGGAGCAAACGGGGAUUAGAUACCCCGGUAGUCCACGCUGUAAACUAUGGAUGCUAGCUGUGACACACAUUCGGCCUGUGUCCGUAAGCAAGUUAACGCGUUAAGCAUCCGCCGNGGAGGUACGGUCGCGAAGAGUAAACUACAANAGAAGUAGACGACGUGAGACGUGCGACGACGACGACGAGGGAGAGG